UGCUAGCAGCGAUUUGGCAACCUUGAACACCACUUCAGAGUUGCCAAAACUCAAUGUAGUGUUUGUGGGGGUGAUAUGUGCUUUCUGGUUGGCGUGAUACAGUUGAUACAUUCCUGAGUUUCCUUCAUUCAGAGAAGCUGAGUCUUUUUUUUUUCUUGCUGGCCUGGCUAUCAGUAUGAAUGUGACUUGGUUUAAAGCGCUAACCUUUGAGGAUUUGGUGAUAUUCUGAUCGUAUGUCUUUGCCAAUUUUAUUAAUCAUGUUUUGAACACUGUUUAUGUUUUUGGGGUGCCUGAAGUUGAAGGGUAUGACUGUAAGUAACAUCUGUUAGUCAUCAUUGCGUAAUAUUUCACUUGGGGCUGCCAAAAUAUGGUCUUGGUAACUGGUAUAGUCCAAAAUACACAUUAUUGUUACAUAACAUGUUUACAGAACUCCCGUGCAGAUUUAAUUAUAUUAUUCCUUUAAAAAAUGCAGUGUUGUAUCCCAGAAUACUUGUUUAUUAUUCUUAGUGCCAUUGAAAAGAACAGUGUGAUUUGUUAAUAGUAACAAAACAACAAUUCACAAUAGCUCUUUACACCAAUAUCUGGGCCCUUAAAGACAGGAAGUGUGAAUGUACAAUGCUUUAAUAAUGUCAGUGCCAGACUAAGGUGCUUUGUCACGAUUUUAGUACAGUAUGCCCUGAAAUGCCAAAAGGGCAUCUUGAUUAAUACAAAAUGUCAAGGUUACUGACAUGCUUAUAAAACAAUUUAAAAUAUUCUGAAAAUAAAUAAUAGAUCUAAGAAAGGAAA
Long non-coding RNA from Rhinichthys klamathensis goyatoka, 786 nucleotides. RefSeq lists it as uncharacterized. The record is from RefSeq and is a predicted model, not a curated record. The transcript has 2 exons. NCBI's taxonomy places the organism in Eukaryota, Metazoa, Chordata, Actinopteri, Cypriniformes, Leuciscidae.